UAUUGAUCGCCCGAUACUCGUCGCAUUUCACGAACACUGGCGGUCUGAUCUACCGCAAGGAGUGUUCUUUUCCGAAAAAGUGGUUGAAUGGUGACAACCCGUGAGCCCUAGAGGGGUUAUAUGCACUAGAGAGUAGUAGUGGCACUGGCUUGAGGUCUGCGGUGCUGACCAAGAGAGCAUUGGUUUCAGAUUGGGUACUUUUGGACUUCUUGACCGGUUGACGCAUAUGUCUAUAGUAGCAGUCAUUGCAUGCAUACUUACAGUUCUUACUUUAUAGUUGUCUUGCUGCUAUAGUAGAUAUUCAUGUAUGCUUUCGGUUCCAGUUACAGUAGCGGUAGCCGUUAUUCAGUCUAGUUCUUACUUUCUUUCAGUUUGUUGCUACUGUAUUUAGUAUAUCUGCUCAUUACCUUAUACAUCUCUUUUGUUUACUAUUGUUCCUAUUGUAUUUCCACUGACCCGUGUUGUUGUAUAGCUCUUCCUGAUCCGGUGAGUACUCCUCGCCUUCUUCGGCUUGCGGUACCCACUGGGAGGGGAGACAUGUUUACAUGUUCUCACCUCCCCCACCAUUUUUCAGGUAUCGCGGGCGGUGAGGGUUGAGACGAGACGUGAGAUACGUAGCGGUCGAUAGAGCUUCCGAUCCAGGUUAUUUCGGUUUAGUUAUUACCCCUAUUAUUUCAGUUGUUAUAGCUUAGAUAGUUUAUAUGGUUCAGUAUUUUUUUUUAAUUACAUUUGAAAAUAUGGGUUUUCAUGAAUAUAAUAAACUGGUUUGUGAAUUUUGUAAAAUAAAAGGUUUUCUACCCCUCGUGGUAGCGUUUUAAAGAAAGAUAAAAGUUCCUGUGGAGGAACAGUUUUCAAAAGGUUUUCUAUGGAUUUUGCAUCUUAGUAUUUCAAAAGUUAUUUCUGUGGUUGGAAACAUUUUAACUGAUAGAUGUGGAUUUAUGUUUAAAUAUUGAAUGCAAAAAUGUGAACCUGUGGUGAAUGGUGUAUGAAUAUAUAACUGUGGUUAUUUGUAUGUUCAUCUGGUUGUGGUUGUAUCAUGUUUGAACUCUUGUACUUGUGUGACGCCGUGCAAAUACAGGGGAGACUCUGUCCGUGUGAACAGUGGAUCUCCUGUAUUUGUGGCGGAUCUUGCAUA
This 1135-nucleotide long non-coding RNA is filed under the name Ananas comosus (pineapple). Its description in RNAcentral is "long non-coding RNA (ACOM_LNC023469)". The record is from RNAcentral. Lineage: Eukaryota; Viridiplantae; Streptophyta; Magnoliopsida; Poales; Bromeliaceae.